GAAGGGACCAAAGGGGCUAUGGCAGCUGGGAACCGGAGCCAGAAAUCUGAGAACCAGGGAGCUAUUACUACUGAACUAUUUCACAAACCCAUUUUGAAAGUCAAAAACCGAGCACUGAGUCUUUCUCUGUAAUCCAGCUACACCAACCCUAAUCUUCUCUGAGGUGAUGCACAGCUGUCACUGGGGAGAAAUGGAAUGCCAGGAAAUGCACAAAGGAAAAGCAUCCUGACAAAUGUUUUCAGCCUUAUGCGCCACACCACUAAAGAACAUUGCCACCUGCUGUAGGAUAUGAAGCUUCUGAAGCACAUGAGAAGUAAGAGGAAACAAUGGUCAUGCCCCCAAAGGUCUUGCUCCACAGAACUGGAGGGACACGUUCUGAAGAAUCCCAGAUUGCAUUCCAGAUGCACCCCAUGGAAACAUGGGACUUUGGUCCUUUUCCAACACCAGGUCACAAGGAGAAAGCUCAUUUUGCAGCUACUCACAGUUACUAGCAGGGCCAUCAUCCUUAACAUUUUUCUGUUGACUCAGAUCUCAGUGAUUUGUAGAAGGAUAAAUUAUCUAAGUAUGAAUUUCCUCUUAAUUCUGAAUAGAAUCUUAUAAUAGCCUCUAUCCUGUUACGACGUUCCCAGUAGUCUUAUGAAUUCAGUAGGGAAUAAACCAGCUGUUUCCAUUUCAUGGGGAGGGCGGGAGGAACAAUCUUGGACUUUUUCUUUUUUUCAACCAAUGUUUAUUGAACCCUUAUUGUGAACCAGGAGCUGUAUUAGGCUCUGAGAAUACACAGUUAGCCUGAACCUACAUGAUGCUUAUACUAGGGAAGAAGACACAUAAACAGAUACUUUUAUUAUAAAAUGGUAGAAAUAAUUACUAGGUGUCAAAGGUUCAAAGUUGAAGGGUAUCACUCAGCCUUCCUGGAGGAGCUGAGACUUGAAUUAAGACUUGAAGGAUGGGCCAGAUGCCAAGUGGGGAGAAGAGCUCUGUUGAUCUGUUCAUUGUGGUAUCCCUACCACCCCACCACAUGGUCUAGUACAUGGAAGACAUUUAAUACAGUGAAUUUGCGAAAGAAAUCUCAGCAGAGGAAAUGUUAUAAGCACAAACAAGGCACGGGAAACUAGAAAUGAUUUGGAUUUACGAGAAGAUUAAUCCUUAUAGGAUCAUAGAUUUCUCUGAAAAACUAAUAGAAGCUAUGGUCCGUCUUCCUACCAAAAUUAACAUACACUCAACAUUUAACAGGUAAUUUUAGGGGGAUACAGAUAUGCCUGAAACUUGUACACACUGAGAAAUCUCUGUUAUAGGGAAUUGGGAGCAUUGAGGUUUUUAAAAACAUCUUUAUUUUAUUUAUUAUAAAGUAGGGGAAUGACAUAACUUAGAGUUACUUUGGAUGCAUAGUGAAGGAUGGGCUUAAGGAAGAUAAGACUAGAUGUGGCAGUUCACUUAAGAGGUUGCUGAAAUAAUUCUGGGUGAGUUAGCCAGAACUAGGAGUGAAGACACGGGCAUGGAGAAGAGUAGUGGGGUGAAGAAUACUUUAAGCGGUAAAACUGGCCUUGCUGGUGUUUGGUUGGAUUUGAGAGCAAGGAAUGGGAAGGAGCUAAGGUUGACUUUCAGGUUUUUUGAAGGACAGGGCAGAUGGUGGUGCUAGUAAUUGAGAUAGGAAAUGCAGGAAAAGAGGUUUGGGUCAGGAAUGGGCUGAUGGAGAGUCUGGGGACGGGAGAAAUGAGGAGUUUGGGUUUGGCCAUGUUGAGAUCACUUGAGGCGACCAGGUAAUGACAGAUACGAGCGAAGUGGAAGGAUAAUGGGGAGAUGCUGUAAACUUUAAGGAGCAAAGGAUUAUGGGAGAGUGGAGUGGGGGUCCAGCAUAUGUUUUCACUUAAUUGGGCAGUGAGGAGGACUGGUGGCCACUGAGUCUGAGGAAUGUGGGGAGUAAGAUCAUAAGGCAGCUCCUCAAACAAGGGUUGGCGGAGGGCCAGUGUCUUCAGGAGCUAUGUUAAUUUCCCAGGGCUGCCACAACCAAGCACCACAAACUGGGUGACUUAAAACAACUGGAAUUUAUUGUCUCACAGUUCUUGGGGCUAGAAGUCAGAAAUCAGAGUGAAGCAGGAGAAGAAGGUCUGAAGGCAGGGAACCUGAGGCCAUUUCAUGCAGACUUCCUAGAACUAAAUUCAUGCAGACUUCCUAGAACUUUCCAUGCCUAAGUAACAAAAGGACCAGAGGCUAUUCCCUUUGCAAACCCCCACCUUUUCUGUGUGGCAGAUGGGAAAUCUAAAGUACCUCAAUUUGCAUACGAGUGUAACUUUGUUUGCUUUGGAGUGUAACUUUGUAACUUCACUCCAGCCUCUGAUUGGUUGCUGUCCACAACCAAUCAAAAUGAUUGCAGGCCGAGUCUUCGUUUGCAUAGAAGUGCGGCUUUGUAACUUCACUUCAGUCUCUGAUUGUGGGCCACCACUUCAUUUACAUGAGGUGAGCACCAAGUGGCCAAUGGGAAACCUCUAGGGGGUAUUUGGAUCAGAGAAGAUUCUGUAUCCGGGCCCAUGAGCCUGCUGGUGCCGCUCCCACGCUGUGGAGUAUACUUUAACUUUCAAUAAAUCCUUGCUUUCAUUCUUUCAUUGCUUCAUUCUUUUCUUGCUUUGCUGUGAGUUUUGUCCGAUUCUUUGUUCAAAAUGCCAAGAACCUGGACAACUUGCAGUCAAGACCCUCUACCGAUAACAAAGGUGCUGGCAGGAUCAUGCUUCCUGUGAAAUUUAGCGAAAUCCUUCUGCCUCUUCCUAGCUUCUGGUGGUUUGCUGGCAAUCUUUAGUGUUCUUUGGCUUGUGGAAGCAUCACCUUACUCUCGGCCUGUGUUAUUGCAUGGCGUUCUCCCUGGGUCUGUUUUCUCAUGUGGCCCUCUUAUAAGGACCCCAGUCUUAUUGGAUUACAGACCCAUGCUGCUCCAGUAUCACCUCAUCUUAAUUAAUUACAUCAGCAACGGCCCUAUUUCCAAAUAAGGUCACAUUCUAAGGUACUGGAGUCAGGACUUCAACAUACGUUUUAGCAGGGGAUAAGUUCUACCCAUAGCAGGGAAGUUACUAUUUCUAGUUCAAGGAGAAAACAGAGGGAACAUUCUUCACAGAUUGAGGGGGCAGGGGGAGUUAGGUUCCGAAAGGCUCAAGUGAAAUGGUUGGGGGUACUGGGGGGGGAUGGUGGUGGGGUUUCUGAUCAGAGGAGAGGUGAGAGGAAGAGCUAACCGACAUUCUGGGUGAUAAGACUGGUGCAAAUGUGAGUCAUGGGGUGUUGGCACGAGGAACUCACUGCAGCUCUGGUUUGAGGGCAGUCUGGGUGGACUGGCCCUGUGGUGGGGUGAGAACACACUCUGCCUCAGGGGACUCUGGGUAGAGGAGCAUCCCAUGAAAUGCAUCAGACUGCUGUUGCCUGGUCAGCUUCUGCUUAUGGAUGUUAGUUUGAUGAAGAAGAAUCACUUACUUCUUGCAGAUUCUUGAAGUUUUCUCCACGGUGGCUGAGAUUUCCUAAAAGCUGCCGGUGUCACUGCUGUUUUUUAAAUUAUUUUCUUCUUGCUGCUUCUAGCAGGCAGUAAGCAAUGAUAGUCUGAGAGGUGCUUCUGUGCUCAUAACUUCUUUAUUUUCUUUGGGAUUUUGAAGUGUUCUUCUAUUCCCAAAGAACUUAAGAAAGCAAAUUCAAUGAAUAAACCUGUUAUUUGAGAAACCCCUCUCUAUCUACUUACUCCUUUCUUAUUGCCUUUAUGAAUUCCAAAACAGCAGAGUGCAAGGUAAAAGGUGUUAAGUCAAAAGACUGUCACUGGAUUGUAAAUACAUUCUGGGUAGGGGCUUUAUAUUGUUAGCCCUUUUAAAAAUUCUACUCUCUAUGAAAAGGGCAAAAAGAGCUGAUGCUCAGGCCACUGCUCUGUGUUUCACUUGCUUGCACUCUUUCUUAAAUAAUUUCUUAGUUAUAGUCCCAGCCACUUUAUAUCCUAUUUGAUCCUUUUUUUUUUUUUUUUUUUUGAGGUGGAGUUUCGCUUUUGUCACCCAGGCUGGAGUGCAAUGGUGCGAUCUCAGCUCACUGCAACCUCCACCUCCCGGGUUCAAGCAAUUCUCCUGCCUCAGCCUCCCGAGUAGCUGGGAUUACAGGCGCACACCACCACGCCCAGCUAAUUUUUGUAUUUUUGGUAGAGAUGGGGUUUCACCACGUCGGCCAGGCUGCUCUCAAAAUCCUGACCUCAGGCAAUCCACCUGCCUCGGCCUCCCAAAGUGCUGUGAUUACAGGCGUGAGCCACUGUGCCCGGCCUGUUGGAUCCAUUUUUAUGAAGGAUUAUAUAAAUGUCCUCUGAUAGACAUAGUUUCAUAAAAAGAAGCUCCUAUCCAGGUGUGCUAGCUUAAAAACCAGUACGGGAAGAAUUUGUGAAACGAUGUUUGUGGUAGCUAGAGGGACUGUAUCUGUUGAGCUGGGUGGUGAGCGGUAUGGCACAGAUCUGAAGUUAAGGUGGUUUCUUCUUUGUUGGUGUAAAAAUGAUGGUUGGAGCUAUUUUCAAAAAACUCAUAAGAAGGGAUGAUUGUACACAUGUGUGUUGCAGUUCAUCUGUACAAAUACAAAGACCGGGGACUUAGGAAUGUUGACUGCCACUUAGAGCAGUGUUUUGCAAAGUUUAAUAAGCACGUGAAGUGCCUGGGCAUUUUUAAAAAUGCAGAUUCUGAUUCAGCAUAUCUGGGAUGGGUCCUGAGAUUCAGUAGUUCUAACAAGCCCCCAGGUGACAUUGAUGCUGCUGAUCCAGAGACCACACUUAGAGGAGCAAAGACCUGGGGAACCUCUUGAAGAAGCACCAUGAUAGCAUUGCAGUCUGGUCCUCAGCCUAAAUCCUUCAACUGCAACCUGAAAUCCAGAAACAAUAAAAGCCAAAAGUAUUUUUAUAACUCCUUUUGAGGCAAAACCUGAUUUGAACUCAUGUGAAAAUAUUCAUAAUGCUUAUUUCCUAUUUUGCACAACUAUUCAUGUUUUCAUUGCAAAAAGAUUGGUGUAUAUGAUUAUGGGAAACUGCCCUAGACUCCACUGGUGUGUGAUGUUAUAUGAGGCACAAGACCAUAUUCUAAAGUCCAAAAAAUUUCUGAAUUCAGAAACACCUCUGACUCUCAGAGUUUGUGGACCUGUGAUGGUUUUGGGGAUGCUUACUCUAUCUACAGUCUUCCUUCUUCUUCUGGAAAUUGUUUUCAACUUCAUGAAGCUGGGCCUACUCUGUCCUCCUACGCCCAGCUUCCCCCACCGGCUGCAUAUAAUUUGAUCAGGGCUGGACACUUGACCCAAAUUGGGCCAAUCAGAUUUUCUUUGUGAGACUGUAGAGUUUGAAUUCAUAGAUGUUCAUCUUGGGUGCAGGGACUGAGGCGGGUGAGAAGCAGCUUUCUGAAGCUGCAUACCUGAGAAGCAGAGAAAGUUGAUCUGGAGAGAGAAAGAGAGAGAGGGAGAGAGGUGUAAAGACAGAAACAGAAAGGAGUGUACGUGCAGCCUGAGAGUGGGAGGGGAGAGCAUCAGCAGGAGUGUGAGAUGCAGACGGUAAUGCUGUAAUAUAAUUAGAAAAUAUAUAUUUGGUCUUUGUCUCUGGUUCCUGGCACAGGGCUUCUAAAACACUUGUAACUUCUUGAGCGUAGGGAGUCAGAGGAGUAUCUUUUGUUAUAAUAUUUGGCUUUUGUCCCCGGUUCCUGGCGCGGAACUUCUAAAAUCCUUGGAAUUUCCUGAACGAUAGGUGUGAGAGAAACCUCUAUUGUCAUUUAUAAUACGCCUCUUGCAAUCAUACUUGAGUUUAUGUGAAUGGGGUGAUUCUUGGAGGGUGCAGACUGGUUACCAGAGGAACCAGCCACAUGAUUAGAAGAUUGGAACUUCCAGCUCCACCUGCUGACCUGUGGGAAGAGGAGAAGGGCUGGAGAUUGAGUUCAUCACCAGUGGCCAAUGAUUUAAUCAAUCAUGACUACGAAAUGGAACCUCCAUAAUGACCCUCAGUGAUGGGGUUGAAGAGCUUCCUGAUUGGUAAACACAUCUACGCGCCAGGAGGGAGGCACACCCCAACCCCGGCGGUGCAGAAGCUCCUUCACUCUGGACCCUGAUGGCCCCUACUCUGUACCUCUUCACUUGGCUGUUCACUUGUGUCUUUCAUAAUAAGCCAGGAAGCAUAAGUAAAGUUCUCCCCUGCGUUCUGUGAACCAUUAUAGCAAGUUAUUAAACCUGAGGAGGGGGUUGUGGCCAAGUCUGAACAAAGUGUAAAUAACCUGGGGACCAACUGCUUGCAAUUGGUGUCUGAAAUGAGGGGCAGUCUUGUGGGACUGAGCCUCUAAUCUGUGGGGUCUGCAAUAACUCUGGGUAGUUACUGUCAGAAUUGAAUUCAAUUUUAGGGCACCCAGUUGGUGUCCAUAUAGAACUGGAAUAUUGCUUGGUGUGGAAAACCCAUACAUUUGGGGUAGAGAAACAGUUUCUCCUAGAACAGACCAAGAGUGAAGGCAGAGGUUUCAAUCCUGAUGGCUUUUUGGUUUCUGGUUUUCAGUCCCAACAGCCCUUUCUUCCCUUGAGUUCUGUGGCAUACAGCUACCAUCUUAUAAUACAUUUUUACAUUUUUUUAAUGCUAGAUGGAGUGGGUUUCAUUGACCCAAAAGGCCUUAACUAACACACUAACAUAACUUUUUCUGUUAGUGCAGUAAGUUUUUUUUUUUAGACUCUGGAGAAUGGACAUGCAAAUCAAAUUCCCAAGAGAAUGCUGAUUUAUUAAUUUCCAUGCAGAAUAACUGCCAGUGGGACCAGAAUACUCCUGCUCACAGGUCAGCUUGUUCCCUGCUGGUAGGAAAAUCUGCAUGGGAAGCCAAGUUAUUAUGAGAAGGCUGCUUGAUGAGUGCAGACAGAACCACAUAAUGAGGGGAUCUGAGCAGACUGCCUCCAAGCUAGCCAGGAUGGCUGGAGGCCCUUUUCCCUACUUUCAGGAUGGAGUGAACCUGCCAAGUGGUGUACACAUGUGCCCAUGCUACAGCAUCCUUGGAAAAUAGGCCAGCUCACUAAAACGAGUUCACCCAUAAGCCAAGUCAGCUAAUGAGCCAUUUACCUAAAAUGAGUAUUUGUUAAAACAUUUCAUGUGUGACUGGAUGGUUUCCAUAGCUUUCUGAGUCUUUUCUGUCUAUGGUGACUGGUGACUGUUUUAUGUUCUGCAGUUCUUAUACCUCUUUUUCCUUUUCUCUUCCCUUCCCUUCCCUCUUUUCUUCCUCUCCUUCUCCCUUUCCUCCCUCCCUUUUUCCUUCCUGCUUUCUUUUCUAUUCUUAUUUCAAAGAUAUUUUUGCUUACUUAUCUAAGGUUGCCCAUCUCCCCUACUUCAUGCUGCCAUCACCCCAUCAUCUCCUAGAGCUCAAGACUGGAGAUUGUCUCUUGAGAGCUAGGGCAGCCAUAAAGCCAGAAACAGUGCUGGAUGGAGAAAAUGGGUGGAGCAGAGCUAAAUGUGUGUGUGUGUGUGUGUGUGUGUGUGUGUGUGUGUGUGUGUGUGUGUUUGUGUGUGUGUGUGUGAUGGGGGGAAGCUGGAAGGGCAAGAGCCAGACACUCCAGACAACUUGAACCACCCAGACCAAAGCAGCAGGGGCAAGACUGUCAACUAGAAAUCAAACCAAGAAUCAAGAAUGGAACAAGAGACUGGAUUGAAGUAAGGAGAUAAUAAUAGUAGUUUUGUAUUUCUAUUGCCCAUUACGUAUCUUAUAACUUUCUAUUUUUCUAAAUUUGCAGUAUGUGCCUUUUGGAAACAUUUGUGUAAUGUUGAAUUUGCAUAAAUCUAGAGUUGCCCAACUCAGGGGGUGUUUUAUUUAUGAUUCAUCAACUUUCUCCUUUUUUCUUUUUAGCUUCUCCUUCCUGCUGCUUAUUAUUUGCAUCUUAGACUUUUGUGCACUAGAUGUCAUCAUUAAGCAAAUUAACCCAAAUUUAAUGUUUGUUGCUCUGUAGUGAGGCAUUUCUGUGUUGACAGUGGAAGUGAAAAAAUAAGGCGUUCAUCAGAAACAUAUUAAGCUCUAUUGCACUUUAUAGCUUGUGACACCUAAAUGACAAAGUGAUACUGGACCACAAAUAUUAACCCAUAUUAUAUUUUAAUGCUCUUUUGAACCAAAUAAAGCCUGUCUUAACCAAAUAAAGUUUUUUCCAUCA
Molecule: long non-coding RNA, 8136 nt
Filed under: Homo sapiens (human)
Lineage: Eukaryota; Metazoa; Chordata; Mammalia; Primates; Hominidae
Description: non-protein coding ZBED5-AS1:32
Source: RNAcentral